AUGCAAGUCGAACGAGAAAGUGGAGCAAUCCAUGAGUACAGUGGCGACCGGGUGAGUAACACGUGACCAACCUGCCCUCGAGUGGGGAACAACAGCGGGAAACCGCUGCUGAUACCGCAUAACAUCCUCGGAUCGGAAGAACUGGGGAUCAAAGGAGCAAUCCGCUUGAGGAGGGGGUCGCGGCUGAUUAGCUAGUUGGCGGGGUAAUGGCCCACCAAGGCGAAGAUCGGUAGCCGGCCUGAGAGGGCGCACGGCCACACUGGAACUGAAACACGGUCCAGACUCCUACGGGAGGCAGCAGUGGGGAAUUUUGCGCAAUGGGGGAAACCCUGACGCAGCAACGCCGCGUGGAGGAUGAAGUCCCUUGGGACGUAAACUCCUUUCGACCAAGACGAUAAUGACGGUACUGGUGGAAGAAGCACCGGCUAACUCUGUG
This 436-nucleotide ribosomal RNA is filed under the name uncultured bacterium. Its description in RNAcentral is "bacterial SSU rRNA". It matches the Rfam family "Bacterial small subunit ribosomal RNA", at positions 55 to 507 of the family's 1533-position model. The record is from RNAcentral.